GACGAACGCUGGCGGCGUGCUUAACACAUGCAAGUCGAACGGAAAGGCCCUGCUUGCAGGGUGCUCGAGUGGCGAACGGGUGAGUAACACGUGGGUGAUCUGCCCCUUACUUUGGGAUAAGCCUGGGAAACUGGGUCUAAUACUGGAUAGGACCAUGCUGUAGGUGGUGUGGUGGAAAGAUUAGUUUCGGUAAGGGAUGAGCUCGCGGCCUAUCAGCUUGUUGGUGGGGUAAUGGCCUACCAAGGCGUCGACGGGUAGCCGGCCUGAGAGGGUGGACGGCCACAUUGGGACUGAGAGACGGCCCAGACGCCUACGGGAGGCAGCAGUGGGGAAUAGUGCACAAUGGGCGCAAGCCGGAUGCAGCGACGCCGCGUGGGGGAUGACGGCCUUCGGGUUGUAAACUCCUUUCAGCCAUGACGAAGCCCUUGUGGUGACGGUAGUGGUAGAAGAAGCACCGGCUAACUACGUG
Molecule: ribosomal RNA, 469 nt
Filed under: uncultured bacterium
Lineage: Bacteria
Description: partial 16S ribosomal RNA
Rfam family: Bacterial small subunit ribosomal RNA
Source: RNAcentral